Molecule: ribosomal RNA, 253 nt
Filed under: uncultured bacterium
Lineage: Bacteria
Description: partial 16S ribosomal RNA
Rfam family: Bacterial small subunit ribosomal RNA
Source: RNAcentral
UACGAAGGGGGCUAGCGUUGCUCGGAAUCACUGGGCGUAAAGGGUGCGUAGGCGGGUCUUUAAGUCAGGGGUGAAAUCCUGGAGCUCAACUGCGGGGCUGCCGGUCAUACUGGCGAGCUAGAGCACGGUAGGGGCAGAUGGAAUUCCCGGUGUAGCGGUGGAAUGCGUAGAGAUCGGGAAGAAUACCAGUGGCGAAGGCGUUCUGCUGGGCCGUUGCUGACACUGAGGCGCGACAGCGUGGGGAGCAAACAGG